AAAAAAACUACUCUUUAACAGAGGAACUUGAAUCCCAGAGCCUCCCCUGACGGAGGUGGCCCUACUGCAGGAAGGGCUUCCACUUCAUCAGCUGUUCUCCUACUUCAAGUCAUUUUUUCCCUUUGGAGGAAGGACUGGAAAGCACACACAGAAGAAUGAGUAAAAAAUAUUCAGGCAAAGAUGUCCAAAGAAUAGCACAAAAUGGCUUGAAACUUCCAAGUCACAGAGCCUCAGGAAGGUAAGCUACAGCUCUUUCUCAAACCAAGCCACUUCAACAAUAGACUGGUUUUCUAAUAACCUAUAAUGAAAAUGUUGCUGUACUUUACAAACUGAAAGUAACAGAAUUGAAUUUGACCACAUGUGGAGUACCUAUACACCUUAUUAUUCACUUAUCUUUAACAUUCCAUUAUUUUUUGACUAGGAACAAAAUUCCCUAUCAUUUGUCAAAAAUAACAGAAAACAAGACAUUCCAUUUUUAGAACUAUCAAGUUCUUCCAAUUUGUUUUCACCUGUUGUUCAACUUCCCAUGAAAUAAAAAUUCGCCUGACUCUGAAAA
Molecule: long non-coding RNA, 556 nt
Organism: Galeopterus variegatus (Sunda flying lemur)
Lineage: Eukaryota; Metazoa; Chordata; Mammalia; Dermoptera; Cynocephalidae
Exons: 2
Source: RefSeq, a predicted model, not a curated record